RNAcentral lists this ribosomal RNA (512 nucleotides) under uncultured bacterium. RNAcentral describes it as "partial 16S ribosomal RNA". It matches the Rfam family "Bacterial small subunit ribosomal RNA", at positions 28 to 523 of the family's 1533-position model. The record is from RNAcentral.
GACGAACGCUGGCGGCGUGCCUAAUACAUGCAAGUCGAGCGGAACUGGGGGAGCUUGCUCCUUCCAGUUUAGCGGCGGACGGGUGAGUAACACGUGGGCAACCUGCCCUGCAGAUCGGGAUAACUCCGGGAAACCGGUGCUAAUACCGAAUAGUUUGGCGCCUCUCCUGAGGCGCUACGGAAAGACGGUUUCGGCUGUCACUGCAGGAUGGGCCCGCGGCGCAUUAGCUAGUUGGUGGGGUAACGGCCCACCAAGGCGACGAGGCGUAGCCGAGCUGAGAGGGUGACCGGCCACACUGGGAGUGAGACACGGCCCAGACUCCUACGGGAGGCAGCAGUAGGGAAUCUUCCACAAUGGACGAAAGUCUGACGGAGCAACGCCGCGUGAGUGACGAAGGUUUUCGGAUCGUAAAACUCUGUUGUGAGGGAAGAACACGUACCAACUAACUAUUGGUACCUUGACGGUACCUCACCAGAAAGCCACGGCUAACUACGUGCCAGCCGCCGCGGUAA